GACGAACCGAGCGAACGUUGUUCGGAAUCAUUGGGCUUAAAGGGCGCGUAGGCGGGUGCUCAAGUCCGGGGUGAAAUCCUCCAGCUCAACUGGAGAACUGCCUCGGAUACUGGGUGUCUCGAGGGUGGUAGGGGUAUGCGGAACUAUCGGUGGAGCGGUGAAAUGCGUUGAUAUCGAUAGGAACUCCGGUGGCGAAGGCGGCAUACUGGACCACAUCUGACGCUGAGGCGCGAAAGCCAGGGGAGCAAACGGG
RNAcentral lists this ribosomal RNA (253 nucleotides) under uncultured bacterium. RNAcentral's name for it is "partial 16S ribosomal RNA". It matches the Rfam family "Bacterial small subunit ribosomal RNA", at positions 524 to 776 of the family's 1533-position model. The record is from RNAcentral.